This 140-nucleotide non-coding RNA is filed under the name unclassified sequences. Its description in RNAcentral is "lysM-TM7 RNA". It matches the Rfam family "lysM-TM7 RNA". The record is from RNAcentral.
GCCUGCCAAAAUCGUCGCUACGGAUAUAGCAAAACUAAUGUAGAAUAUAAUUAAUCAAUUAGGUCGACAACAUAUCCUGUUCUGUUGCGAGAAGAAAGACGAUUUGGUAGAGGUGUCAGUGGUAACACUGGUGCAAGGAG